Molecule: small nuclear RNA, 139 nt
Filed under: Xenopus tropicalis (tropical clawed frog)
Lineage: Eukaryota; Metazoa; Chordata; Amphibia; Anura; Pipidae
Description: U4 spliceosomal RNA (ENSXETG00000044462.1)
Rfam family: U4 spliceosomal RNA
About the family: U4 small nuclear RNA (U4 snRNA) is a component of the major U2-dependent spliceosome. The structure of U4 snRNA from yeast and human has been reported.
Source: Rfam by way of RNAcentral
AGCUUUGCGGCAGUGGCAGUAUCAUAGCCAAUGAGGUCAAACCGAGGCGUGAUUAUUGCUAAUUGAAAACUUUUCCCAAUACCCGCGUGAUGACUUGAAAUAUAGUCAGCACUGGCAAUUUUGACAGUCUCUCAGGAGA